This 460-nucleotide ribosomal RNA is filed under the name uncultured bacterium. RNAcentral's name for it is "partial 16S ribosomal RNA". It matches the Rfam family "Bacterial small subunit ribosomal RNA", at positions 338 to 795 of the family's 1533-position model. The record is from RNAcentral.
CCUACGGGGAGCAGCAGUGAGGAAUAUUGGUCAAUGGACGAGAGUCUGAACCAGCCAAGUAGCGUGAAGGAUGACUGCCCUAUGGGUUGUAAACUUCUUUUAUAUGGGAAUAAAACGUUCCACGUGUGGGAUUUUGUAUGUACCAUAUGAAUAAGGAUCGGCUAACUCCGUGCCAGCAGCCGCGGUAAUACGGAGGAUCCGAGCGUUAUCCGGAUUUAUUGGGUUUAAAGGGAGCGUAGGUGGAUUGUUAAGUCAGUUGUGAAAGUUUGCGGCUCAACCGUAAAAUUGCAGUUGAAACUGGCAGUCUUGAGUACAGUAGAGGUGGGCGGAAGUCGUGGUGUAGCGGUGAAAUGCUUAGAUAUCACGAAGAACUCCGAUUGCGAAGGCAGUUCACUGGACUGCAACUGACACUGAGGCUCGAAAGUGUGGGUAUCAAACAGGAUUAGAUACCCCUGUAGUC